RNAcentral lists this ribosomal RNA (484 nucleotides) under uncultured bacterium. Its description in RNAcentral is "partial 16S ribosomal RNA". It matches the Rfam family "Bacterial small subunit ribosomal RNA", at positions 30 to 507 of the family's 1533-position model. The record is from RNAcentral.
AUUGAACGCUGGCGGCAGGCCUAACACAUGCAAGUCGAGCGGAUGAAGGGAGCUUGCUCCUGGAUUCAGCGGCGGACGGGUGAGUAAUGCCUAGGAAUCUUCCUCGUAGUGGGGGAUAACGUCCGGAAACGGGCGCUAAUACCGCAUACGUCCUGAGGGAGAAAGUGGGGGAUCUUCGGACCUCACGCUAUCAGAUGAGCCUAGGUCGGAUUAGCUAGUUGGUGGGGUAAAGGCCUACCAAGGCGACGAUCCGUAACUGGUCUGAGAGGAUGAUCAGUCACACUGGAACUGAGACACGGUCCAGACUCCUACGGGAGGCAGCAGUGGGGAAUAUUGGAAGAUGGGCGAAAGACUGAUCCAGCCAUGCCGCGUGUGUGAAGAAGGUCUUCGGAUUGUAAAGCACUUUAAGUUGGGAGGAAGGGCAGUAAGUUAAUACCUUGCUGUUUUGACGGUACCAACAGAAUAAGCACCGGCUAACUUCGUG